CAAAACCUCUUCUUCUCUUUCCCUUCCUAGUUAAUUACCUCUCUCAAUCUCUUCAUUAUGUAUGCUUUGUCAUUGAAAUUUGACAAAUUCUUUUGGCCAUUUUAGAUGUUCUAGGACACAAUUUUGAUAUUCCAACCCUCUUGUAGGUGACAGUCCCAGCAUAACUAUCAUCCCAAGUCCUCUUAUGUAUUUUUUAUGCAAGGACUUAUUAGCAAAUUGUAAUCAAUUUAAGGUGCAUGGAUUUAUUUACAAUUUUACAUAAAUUGGUCACUCCGUACCUAUCAUUUAAAGUGCAUAUUAGAGCAAAUUAUAAUCAGCCCCUGGUGAGAAGGUAUGUAUGUUUCUUUGUCCCAAUAGUUUAUAAAUUAUGGAUAAUGUAAUGAUUGUGGAUAAAUAUUAUCCUAUGGUUUAUUUUGUAUAAGUAUAUUAGCAUGGAGGGAACAUAGAAAUUUGGGUUUUGAAAUUACUUAACCAAAUAUAUUUCUUCACUUAUGAGUAAAAAAUUAAUUUAUUUAGAGUGUGCAUGAGUAUUCCUUUGAACAAGUGUUUAUAAGGAUUGAAUGAGCUGCAUGUGAAUAUAUAUAUAUAUAUGAAGCUUGAAUGUGUAUAGUAUAUAUAUAAUAAACGCCUAAUACCAGCAGAAUACGGCACACUCAGAAAUCAUGCAUUCUUCAUGUAUUUAGAUUGAGAGCCACAUAUUUGAAACUUUAAGGAUAGGGUUUAUCUUUAAAUUUCACCACUUAUUUUGUCUAUGUACAUAAGAACCAUUGGUUCUACCAACGGAUAAAGAAGACUUAGAAGAUAUAUAAUUAAUCUUCAAAAUAAAUUCUUGAACAUGCAACUUGAUUAGUGCCUAAACAGCCAAC
This 866-nucleotide long non-coding RNA is filed under the name Lupinus angustifolius (narrow-leaved blue lupine). Its description in RNAcentral is "long non-coding RNA (LANG_LNC002950)". Lineage: Eukaryota; Viridiplantae; Streptophyta; Magnoliopsida; Fabales; Fabaceae. The record is from RNAcentral.